AUUUGCUACUGUGCUUAAUGUUGUCGAUUGACAAAAUCUUCCUAAUGAGUCAAGUCAUAAAGUCUUAAAUUCAUUUCCUUUCCCUAUAACACAGUUUUAAGCUGUGAAAACAGCCGAAUUUUGUUUCAAAUCUCAAUAACUUGAACAGACACUUAAAUAAAUAAAUUAUGGAAUCUCAAGGAACCAAUACAUUUUUUCAUAGUUCACACAUCAUGCCAAUGUGAUAAGAACUAAAAGAAUCUUUCAA
RNAcentral lists this unclassified non-coding RNA (247 nucleotides) under Hevea brasiliensis (rubber tree). Lineage: Eukaryota; Viridiplantae; Streptophyta; Magnoliopsida; Malpighiales; Euphorbiaceae. The record is from RNAcentral.